AUUGAACGCUGGCGGCAGGCCUAACACAGGCAAGUCGAACGAUAACAGGAAACAGCUUGCUGUUUCGCUGACGAGUGGCGGACGGGUGAGUAAUGUCUGGGAAACUGCCUGAUGGAGGGGGAUAACUACUGGAAACGGUAGCUAAUACCGCAUAACGUCGCAAGACCAAAGAGGGGGACCUUCGGGCCUCUUGCCAUCGGAUGUGCCCAGAUGGGAUUAGCUAGUCGGUGGGGUAACGGUCCACCUAGGCGACGAUCCCUAGCUGGUCGGGGAAGAUGACCAGCCACACAGGAACAGAGACUAGGUCCAGACUCCUUAUGGAAGCAUAAGUUGGGAAUAUUGGACAAUUGGCGCAGGCCUGAUGCAGCCAUUCCGCGUGUAUGAAGAAGGCCUUCGGGUUGUAAAGUACUUUCAGCGGGGAGGAAGGGAGUAAAGUUAAUACCUUUGCUCAUUGACGUUACCCGCAGAAGAAGCACCGACUAACUCCGUGCCAGCCGCCGCAGUAA
RNAcentral lists this ribosomal RNA (506 nucleotides) under uncultured bacterium. RNAcentral's name for it is "partial 16S ribosomal RNA". It matches the Rfam family "Bacterial small subunit ribosomal RNA", at positions 30 to 523 of the family's 1533-position model. The record is from RNAcentral.